RNAcentral lists this ribosomal RNA (426 nucleotides) under uncultured bacterium. RNAcentral describes it as "bacterial SSU rRNA". It matches the Rfam family "Bacterial small subunit ribosomal RNA", at positions 356 to 773 of the family's 1533-position model. The record is from RNAcentral.
AGGGAAUAUUGCGCAAUGGACGAAAGUCUGACGCAGCAACGCCGCGUGUGGGAGGAAGCUUCUUGGAGUGUAAACCACUGUCGGGAGGGACGAAUGAUUAUGGUUCUAAUAUAGCUAUAGUUUGACGGUACCUUCAAAGGAAGCUCCGGCUAACUCCGUGCCAGCAGCCGCGGUAAUACGGGGGGAGCAGGCGUUGUUCGGAAUCACUGGGCGUAAAGGGUGCGCAGGCGGGAGAUUAAGUCGGAUGUGAAAUCCUCGGGCUCAACCCGAGGCCUGCAUUUGAAACUGAUCUUCUUGAGUAUCGGAGAGGAAAGCGGAACUCCAGGUGUAGCGGUGAAAUGCGUAGAUAUCUGGAGGAACACCUGUGGCGAAGGCGGCUUUCUGGCCGAAUACUGACGCUCAUGCACGAAGGCUAGGGGAGCAAAC